CACAGAGACCUCUCCUAGCAUCAUACAGAGACCAUGACAGAAAACCACAACUGAUCAAAUGCGGAGUUCUGGAGCCCAGUCUCAACUGAUACAUCUACAACCUAACUCAGUACUGAGAUUCCAAUCAGACCAAAAGAUCCUCCCAGGAGCUCACUGUUCACGGCCAGACUCAGCUUCUUUUCAGAUUAAUCUCCAGUUUCCUUACAUGACGGAGAAGAAAGGUGAACGGAUACAGAAGCAGAGGUGCCAGCAUUUGAGCUUGACUGCACUGAGCUGCUAGAGGGAGUACCGACCAGCGGGGAGAGAUCAUCAAUGACAGUUGAAGCUGAAAGGU
Long non-coding RNA from Mastomys coucha (southern multimammate mouse), 334 nucleotides. RefSeq lists it as uncharacterized. NCBI's taxonomy places the organism in Eukaryota, Metazoa, Chordata, Mammalia, Rodentia, Muridae. The transcript has 4 exons. The record is from RefSeq and is a predicted model, not a curated record.